This is a long non-coding RNA of Uranotaenia lowii, 598 nucleotides long. RefSeq lists it as uncharacterized. The transcript has 3 exons. The record is from RefSeq and is a predicted model, not a curated record. NCBI's taxonomy places the organism in Eukaryota, Metazoa, Arthropoda, Insecta, Diptera, Culicidae.
GCACAUAUACAUAUUCAAUCAUGAGCAUACUACAAAAUCCUUCGCCUGUGCAACACUGAUUGAUAAAUUUUGCUUGUAAGUAUUAGUGAUCCAAGCAGGCCUUGAAAAAAAUUCUGCAACGGCUAUUUGAGCCACACAUUGUUCGUUCAGAAAGAGUGGUUACGUCAUAGAAACAGCACGUGCGGCAGACAGAGGACGAAAUUGAAAUAAGGCAAAUUUGAUCCGAAAUUGAACGAGCUGUUCUAAGUGCCAAGGAUAAAAAACAGACGAGAAAAUUUUGAACCGCAUGCAUCCUUCAAUUCCAAAAAUGAAAAAACAGCCAGUUGGAGGAAGUUGGCAGUGCCCGUGGUCGAUGCAAAUGUUUAAUCAUGAUUUAUUUUUCCGAACUAGAGCAUCGUAUGUCUUUCACGCACAGGAUAGUUCAUGGGAACGCGGCCUUCGGAUACCAUUAGUUCAAGUUGGGUUCGGUCAGAGUUGGCUAUUCCGCGGUACCUCGAACGAAACGAAGCCAUUGAUACCAGCAGUAUCUGAUCAGUGAUGUCUUGUGUUCCGGCGUAAUCGACGUGGCCAACGACGGGCAAAAUAAGAAAUUUUUAAA